AUCUAUCUGAAGAGUCCUGAAUAGGACGAAACGCGAGUCCUGGAU
RNAcentral lists this non-coding RNA (45 nucleotides) under Schistosoma mansoni. The record is from RNAcentral. Lineage: Eukaryota; Metazoa; Platyhelminthes; Trematoda; Strigeidida; Schistosomatidae.